GGCCCUGUGGCCUAAUAGAUAAGGCGUCGGUCUCCUAAACGGAAGAUUCAAGGUUCGAGUCCUUGUUGGGUGG
Non-coding RNA from Angiostrongylus cantonensis (rat lungworm), 73 nucleotides. NCBI's taxonomy places the organism in Eukaryota, Metazoa, Nematoda, Chromadorea, Rhabditida, Metastrongylidae. The record is from Rfam.